CCAUGUGCAUGGCAGCUGCAUGCAGCCGGCCGCCCGUUAGCAGCCGCUAAUUACUCAGUCAUCCAUGCUAAAAUACUUGGUCAAAACUUUGGUUAAACAGCAGCAACCAAAUACAUGUAAAACUGAGAAAAACUUUGGUUUUAAGAAACUGUAGUAUUCUUUGCCCAUCCAGAGUAAUACUGUGGUUUUCAAUUACCACAGUUUAAAAAAAAACUUUGCUGCCAAACUAGCCCUAAAAUGUAUUUUUUACAGUGACAGGAGAGAGUAUCUACCUCGGCGAAAAGGGUGGCAAAUCCUCCCCCAUCCGGCCGUCUCCGCCGGUGGUACCAACUCCGAGCAGAUCUCCCCUCUUCCUUCGAUUCGUGGUCGAAUUCGAUUCCGGAGCGGCCUUUCAACGAUUAAGAUCGCUGCAGAUCGCUGCUCGCUUUGUUCGUUCCCACUCCACUCCAGCAAAUCAAAUGGAGCCUCCGCGCACAAGCCUCAAGUCUGGAUCUUGCGAUGAUCUGGAGAACGGGCGCAGAAAAAUGAUGGAGGAGUAUGAGGCUGGACUUGCUGGACUUUUGGAGCUUGAGGCGCUCGAGCGCGAGAUGCGCGAACUUGUCCCCGCAGCGACCAGCGCAAUCGCGCUCCUGGCCACUCCAAGGGUGGGCGAUACGAGGGAGACCUACUGCCAUGUUUGCCAUGAUGAUUUCGAGGAAGGGGGGACAAGCUGAGGGCGAUGCCAUGCGCCCACUCUUUCCAUCAGCGCUGUAUCUUCAGGGUGCUCAGUGUUAACCGUCUGUGCCCAGUCUGCAGCUACGAACUUCCGGGGGACUACCUGGAGAUGCCUUGAAACCGCUCAUGAAAGAUUGUUUCCUGUGAUCCUUUCUUAAUUAUGCAGCGUUCUGUAUAAUUCUUAAUUAUGCGUUGCUUUAUCUAUCUGUAGUGCAGAUCAGCAACUUUUGUCAUCUCGUUGGAGAAUAUUGCUCCUACAACAUUAUUCGGUUUAACUCUGCUAUUAUGCUAAACAUCAAUACAUAUUUUUGAGAUAUCCCCAAA
Long non-coding RNA from Triticum aestivum (bread wheat), 1038 nucleotides. RefSeq lists it as uncharacterized. Lineage: Eukaryota; Viridiplantae; Streptophyta; Magnoliopsida; Poales; Poaceae. The transcript is spliced from 2 exons. The record is from RefSeq and is a predicted model, not a curated record.